Molecule: long non-coding RNA, 1179 nt
Organism: Puntigrus tetrazona (Sumatra barb)
Lineage: Eukaryota; Metazoa; Chordata; Actinopteri; Cypriniformes; Cyprinidae
Exons: 3
Source: RefSeq, a predicted model, not a curated record
AGCAGAUCCAACUCCAGCCUGAGUUUAUACAGCAGCGCUUGCUCCCAGCAGCCCGCUGACCCGCAAGGCAUUACUACGCAGAAGUUUCUCUGGUGAGAGGUGCAUUCGACCCAGGAGCUCUAUUGCAGCUUUAGGAAGUGACCACUUCUCUGCAGACAUCGACUCACCUUCACCUACAGAAGAGGCAGAAAGACCGCCAACAUGACCACAUCUCGUCCCAUACCACGAGCUCAACCAGGCAGGCGGAUGGACAGAAAACCACCCCAGCAGGCCACGUUCAUGGCUGGUCCCUAGUGCUCUGAGGUGUCUUACACCAUCCGUUUCAUAACAUUACACUGACUUUUUACCUUCGCAGACUUUGUUUUUACCCAACGGACUCCCCGCUUUGUGUGUAACGAGAGACCGCUGGAAUGUUUUGCAUGGGUUUGAGCAGCAUGGCGCCUGUAGUAUCAAAGAGCAAUAGCUUAUGUAGUGCUUUACACAGCAUACUAUAUACACAGAUCUCUUUAUUUUCUGUUGUUGCCUGAUGUAGGGACGAUGUUCAGUCUGACACUGCGUCCCGAAGAAUAAAGCCACUGCCUUUGUAUCAGUUCCACCCCACAGUUAAAACAGAACCAAAAAACUGCUGUUUUAUGGUUUAGGCUUUAUGAUAAUCUGAGCUUUUGGGGUCCGUGUGAUUGUUUUGUGUAAGUGUGGCUAUUAUAUCCUCAGGUCUGAAGUGCUGGAAUAUUUUAGGGUCUAGAGUAUGGAUUUAAAGACCACAUGAAAUAUAUCACCCGUCUCCACUAGCAAAUAGCCAACUAGGCUAACGGUGGUAAAAGAUCUCAAGGAAUACAUGACUAUGCCUACAUUUCUUGAAAUGUGUAAAUAGCAAACAGAAAAACUGGAAAAAAACCUUGUUGUGGUCUGAUAUUGCUAAAUAAUAUUGUUGGUUAGCACAUUUCAUGGCAGUUUUAAAUUGAAAGGUCUAGUGUCUGGUGCUAAAUAGCUUGUUUGUCUCCAAAACAAUUAAAUGUAACUGUGGCAAUGUUUCAUUACGUUGGUGGCUGUACAUAUUGUGGCUUCCUUUUUAAUCAAUAAAAUCUAACAUAUAUUGUUUACAAAAGCAAAUGUGAGAUAAAAACCCAUUGGCUCAAGCAAAUAUGCCACACAUGGAGCUGAUUAUGUAUGCAUAUUCAU